GGUAGCGUGGCCGAGGGGUCUAAGGCGCUGGAAUUAGGCUCCAGUCUCUUCGGGGGCGUGGGUUCGAAUCCCACCGCUGCCA
Molecule: non-coding RNA, 82 nt
Organism: Danio rerio (zebrafish)
Lineage: Eukaryota; Metazoa; Chordata; Actinopteri; Cypriniformes; Danionidae
Source: Rfam